UACCCUUGGAAAUCGGCCCCGUUAUAA
Molecule: non-coding RNA, 27 nt
Filed under: Drosophila melanogaster (fruit fly)
Lineage: Eukaryota; Metazoa; Arthropoda; Insecta; Diptera; Drosophilidae
Source: RNAcentral